Triplophysa dalaica is the source of this 642-nucleotide long non-coding RNA. RefSeq lists it as uncharacterized. The transcript has 3 exons. NCBI's taxonomy places the organism in Eukaryota, Metazoa, Chordata, Actinopteri, Cypriniformes, Nemacheilidae. The record is from RefSeq and is a predicted model, not a curated record.
GGUGGAACGUUCUCUGGGGUUUCUCCUGCUAUUGCACCUGCACGUUGCUUCUCUCGUGGAUGUUUUUCUGCUCAGUGUCUACACGAGAGAGUGAGAGAAGCCAUUGCCCCGUUGAUCCACUGAUGAUCUGUUUACAGGUUAUGUGGAAAAGCCUGUGCUUGAUGGAGAUGUAAAGCAGAUGACCACAGCAUCCCAGGUCCCAAGAGGGGACUGUUUUAGUAAUUUUCUACUGGGCAAACUGAAUUUGUCAGGUCUCAGGUUUAACUUUCUUCUUUCUUCCUGGCAAUCUCCACGCAGCUGUUUUUACUUACACUCUCGCGCACCUGUUUGUUAUUUCCUCAUUCUCUUUUGACUCCUUAUAGUCAGCCUCUGCUUUCCUUUCCGUUGCCAGUGUGUUGAUUCUUGCACGAUAACCACUAGUCCUCUUGUCUUGUUGUGUUUCUAAUACUCUUCCCUCCAGUUGCAUUGCUGGUUUCUUGUACGCAGGCUGAUCGUCUCGUCGCUGCCUUCCUUUUGGAUUACCCGGUUUGGAUUACAUCUGCUGUCCACUCUACUACGGUUCUGCUUAAUUCCCUUGGAUGACGUUCGCACCUCGCCUGACCCUGCCUGUCUGACACAGAGUUCGCUUCAACCCUACGGAUC